Ochotona princeps (American pika) is the source of this 580-nucleotide long non-coding RNA. RefSeq lists it as uncharacterized. NCBI's taxonomy places the organism in Eukaryota, Metazoa, Chordata, Mammalia, Lagomorpha, Ochotonidae. The transcript is spliced from 3 exons. The record is from RefSeq and is a predicted model, not a curated record.
UGCUGUAAACAAGCUCUGUGUGGAGCUUCUGCAGCACUCUUAACUGCCUUACUGGUACCUAUGACUAAGGAAACUUACCAGAUGGAACAGAUCUGACAUGAAGAUUAACAAGAGUGGAUCCACAGAACUUAGAUGGAAGCUGCCUUGGCGGUGAUGGUGGAGGGCGAGAGGGAGUAGCAGUGGAUGACAGAUUGCUUAUCCACGCCACAGCACUCAUCACUGCUGCUUGGAGGUGGGAUUCUGCACGGCUCAUCCACAUCGCCCACCUCCCACUGUGAGGUGCAUCUGCUGGAGCUGGCCUGUGGGCGACAGGCUGUUUUCCUGAAAUGCCUCAUGUUGGAGGGCUGGGUGGCAGCUGAGGCCACAUCAUAAACAUAUUAUUUGAGGAAAAAUAAAGGAUGCUUAGAAAAUCGAUGAGCAGCAAAGAAUUAGAUCUGCUUUCACUGUUAAGACAGCCAAUGUGAAAGCAUAUGGAAGAAAUAAGAAUCAUACACGUGGUUUCCUGAGAGGCAUAUGACAAUUUUCUUAUCUUUUACAAACUGUAAAAAGUAUAUACGUGCUCAUUUGAAGCUGACAGACU